UGAGAAUUGUACCACGUGAUUAUAGUUUGAACUAGACUGGCUUGAUAUCGUUAAAAUCUUUAAAACACGGAUAUUAUAAGUUGCCCGUCACAGAGUCCUUGUUUAUAAUCAUUCUGAUAUUUCCGUAAAGUUGUCAAGCGGUCAAAAUCAAAACAGUGAAUUUUUCGUGUUCUCAUGAGUUUAUACUUCUUAAAAUAUUGGCAUUUUAACUUUACGUGGGAACCUAGAGUUCAACGACUACACAUACAAGGUUUGGACUUGCUUAUUCUUUGGACAUCCAAGUUUCAAGUUUCACC
This 296-nucleotide long non-coding RNA is filed under the name Mytilus galloprovincialis (Mediterranean mussel). The record is from RNAcentral. Lineage: Eukaryota; Metazoa; Mollusca; Bivalvia; Mytilida; Mytilidae.